CGGUCAAGUCCUCAUGGCCUUUAUGCUUAGGGCUACACACGUGCUACAAUGGGUGGUACAAAGAGAAGCCAACUCGCGAGAGCGCGCCAAUCUCAAAAAGCCAUCCUCAGUUCGGAUUGGAGUCUGCAACUCGACUCCAUGAAGUUGGAAUCGCUAGUAAUCGCGGAUCAGCAUGCCGCGGUGAAUACGGUUCCCGGGCCUU
This 202-nucleotide ribosomal RNA is filed under the name uncultured Smithella sp. Its description in RNAcentral is "partial 16S ribosomal RNA". It matches the Rfam family "Bacterial small subunit ribosomal RNA", at positions 1182 to 1382 of the family's 1533-position model. The record is from RNAcentral. Lineage: Bacteria; Pseudomonadati; Thermodesulfobacteriota; Syntrophia; Syntrophales; Smithellaceae.